RNAcentral lists this long non-coding RNA (326 nucleotides) under Brassica napus (rape). Its description in RNAcentral is "long non-coding RNA (BNAP_LNC000898)". The record is from RNAcentral. Lineage: Eukaryota; Viridiplantae; Streptophyta; Magnoliopsida; Brassicales; Brassicaceae.
AAUAUUUAACUUAACCAAUGCGUUACGAAAAGACAUUUAGUUAAAUUAUAGACACAAACUCUUCGUAAUAAUUAUUUAGUCAGGACAUUUCAAAAAUUUAAUGUAUUAAAUCAGUUUCUUCUCAUAUUGUAAGAUCUGAAGAAUCCAAAAUUGAUUCGAUAUUGUCUAUCACAUAAUCACGCAACCUUGAAGAAUAUGAUUUAGACAAAUCUAUCAAUCUAACAAUCUAACCCAAAACCACUUACCCCACCACUAUACGUAUAACCUACAACCUCUGCCAAAGUCUUACAUACACAAAUAGAUAUUAUGUAACUAACGCAACUAAA